UACGUAGGGUGCGAGCGUUGUCCGGAAUUAUUGGGCGUAAAGAGCUUGUAGGCGGUCUGUCGCGUCUGCUGUGAAAACCCAGGGCUCAACCCUGGGCCUGCAUUCGAUACGGGCAGACUAGAGUUCGGUAGGGGAGACUGGAAUUCCUGGUGUAGCGGUGAAAUGCGCAGAUAUCAGGAGGAACACCGGUGGCGAAGGCGGGUCUCUGGGCCGAAACUGACGCUGAGGAGCGAAAGCGUGGGGAGCAAACAGG
RNAcentral lists this ribosomal RNA (253 nucleotides) under uncultured bacterium. Its description in RNAcentral is "partial 16S ribosomal RNA". It matches the Rfam family "Bacterial small subunit ribosomal RNA", at positions 524 to 776 of the family's 1533-position model. The record is from RNAcentral.